AGAGUUUGAUCCUGGCUCAGGACGACGCUGGCGGCGUGCUUAACACAUGCAAGUCGAACGAUGAAGCCUGCUUGCAGGGUGGAUUAGUGGCGAACGGGUGAGUAACACGUGGGUGAUCUGCCCCGCACUUCGGGAUAAGCCUGGGAAACUGGGUCUAAUACCGGAUACGACCCCCUGGUAGGUCAGGGGGUGGAAAGAUUUAUCGGUGUGGGAUGAGCCUGCGGCCUAUCAGCUUGUUGGUGGGGUAAUGGCCUACCAAGGCGUCGACGGGUAGCCGGCCUGAGAGGGUGAUCGGCCACAUUGGGACUGAGACACGGCCCAGACUCCUACGGGAGGCAGCAGUGGGGAAUAUUGCACAAUGGGCGCAAGCCUGAUGCAGCGACGCCGCGUGGGGGAUGACGGCCUUCGGGUUGUAAACUCCUUUCGACAGGGACGAAGCUUUGGUGACGGUACCUGUAGAAGAAGCACCGGCUAACUACGUGCCAGCAGCCGCGGUAAUACGUAGGGUGCGAGCGUUGUCCGGAAUUACUGGGCGUAAAGAGCUCGUAGGUGGUUUGUCGCGUCGUCUGUGAAAUCCCGGGGCUUAACUUCGGGCGUGCAGGCGAUACGGGCAUAACUUGAGUGCUGUAGGGGAGACUGGAAUUCCUGGUGUAGCGGUGAAAUGCGCAGAUAUCAGGAGGAACACCAAUGGCGAAGGCGGGUCUCUGGGCAGCAACUGACGCUGAGGAGCGAAAGCAUGGGUAGCGAACAGGAUUAGAUACCCUGGUAGUCCAUGCCGUAAACGGUGGGCGCUAGGUGUAGGGGACUUCCACGUCUUCUGUGCCGCAGCUAACGCAUUAAGCGCCCCGCCUGGGGAGUACGGCCGCAAGGCUAAAACUCAAAUGAAUUGACGG
RNAcentral lists this ribosomal RNA (893 nucleotides) under uncultured bacterium. Its description in RNAcentral is "bacterial SSU rRNA". It matches the Rfam family "Bacterial small subunit ribosomal RNA", at positions 8 to 916 of the family's 1533-position model. The record is from RNAcentral.